AGUGAACGCUGGCGGCGUGCCUAAUACAUGCAAGUCGAACGGAGUGGCGCACGGGUGGGUAAUGUAUAGCUAAUCUGCCCUACACUAGAGGCCAACAGUUGGGAACGACUGCUAAUACUCUAUAGUGUAGGAUGAGGCUAUAUUGUCUCAUCUAGUUGGUGGGGUAAUGGCUAACCAAGGCUAUGAUGCAGAACUGGUCUGAGAGGAUGAUCAGUCACACUGGAACUGAGACACGAUGCGGACUCCUACGGGAAGCAGCAGUAGGGAAAAUUGCUCAAUGGGGGAAACCCUGAAGCAGCAUCGGCGCGUGGAGGAUGACACUUUUCGGAGAGUAAACUCCUUAUGUUAGGGAAGCGGUACCUAACGAAUAAGCACCGGCUAACUCCGUGCCAGCAGCCGCGGUAAUUC
This 408-nucleotide ribosomal RNA is filed under the name uncultured bacterium. RNAcentral describes it as "partial 16S ribosomal RNA". It matches the Rfam family "Bacterial small subunit ribosomal RNA", at positions 29 to 526 of the family's 1533-position model. The record is from RNAcentral.